This 1446-nucleotide ribosomal RNA is filed under the name uncultured bacterium. RNAcentral's name for it is "bacterial SSU rRNA". It matches the Rfam family "Bacterial small subunit ribosomal RNA". The record is from RNAcentral.
AGAGUUUGAUCCUGGCUCAGGAUGAACGCUGGCGGCGUGCUUAACACAUGCAAGUCGAACGAACCUUCGGGUUAGUGGCGGACGGGUGAGUAACGCGUGAGAAUCUGCCCUCAGGAGGGGGACAACAGCUGGAAACGGCUGCUAAUACCCCAUAUGCCGAGAGGUGAAAUGAAUUUCGCCUGAGGAUGAGCUCGCGUCUGAUUAGCUAGUUGGUGAGGUAAGAGCUCACCAAGGCAUCGAUCAGUAGCUGGUCUGAGAGGAUGAUCAGCCACACUGGGACUGAGACACGGCCCAGACUCCUACGGGAGGCAGCAGUGGGGAAUUUUCCGCAAUGGGCGAAAGCCUGACGGAGCAACGCAGCGUGAGGGAUGAAGGCCUCUGGGCUGUAAACCUCUUUUCUCAAGGAAGAAGAUCUGACGGUACUUGAGGAAUAAGCCACGGCUAAUUCCGUGCCAGCAGCCGCGGUAAUACGGGAGUGGCAAGCGUUAUCCGGAAUUAUUGGGCGUAAAGCGUCCGCAGGCGGCCCAUCAAGUCUGCUGUUAAAAAGUGGAGCUUAACUCCAUCAUGGCAGUGGAAACUGUUGGGCUAGAGUGUGGUAGGGGCAGAGGGAAUUCCCGGUGUAGCGGUGAAAUGCGUAGAUAUCGGGAAGAACACCAGUGGCGAAGGCGCUCUGCUGGGCCAUAACUGACGCUCAUGGACGAAAGCCAGGGGAGCGAAAGGGAUUAGAUACCCCUGUAGUCCUGGCCGUAAACGAUGAACACUAGGUGUCGGGGGAAUCGACCCCUCCGGUGUCGUAGCCAACGCGUUAAGUGUUCCGCCUGGGGAGUACGCACGCAAGUGUGAAACUCAAAGGAAUUGACGGGGGCCCGCACAAGCGGUGGAGUAUGUGGUUUAAUUCGAUGCAACGCGAAGAACCUUACCAGGGUUUGACAUCCUGCGAAUUUCUGGGAAACCGGAAAGUGCCUUCGGGAACGCAGUGACAGGUGGUGCAUGGCUGUCGUCAGCUCGUGUCGUGAGAUGUUGGGUUAAGUCCCGCAACGAGCGCAACCCACGUCUUUAGUUGCCAGCAUUUAGUUGGGCACUCUAGAGAGACCGCCGGUGAUAAACCGGAGGAAGGUGUGGAUGACGUCAAGUCAUCAUGCCCCUUACAUCCUGGGCUACACACGUACUACAAUGCUACGGACAAAGGGCAGCAAACUCGCGAGAGCUAGCAAAUCCCAUAAACCGUGGCUCAGUUCAGAUCGUAGGCUGCAACUCGCCUACGUGAAGGAGGAAUCGCUAGUAAUCGCAGGUCAGCAUACUGCGGUGAAUACGUUCCCGGGCCUUGUACACACCGCCCGUCACACCAUGGAAGUUGGCCACGCCCGAAGCCGUUACUCCAACCCUUGUGGAGGAGGACGUCGAAGGUGGGGCUGAUGACUGGGGUGAAGUCGUAACAAGGUAACC